This 461-nucleotide ribosomal RNA is filed under the name uncultured soil bacterium. RNAcentral's name for it is "bacterial SSU rRNA". It matches the Rfam family "Bacterial small subunit ribosomal RNA", at positions 27 to 492 of the family's 1533-position model. The record is from RNAcentral.
CGAUUGAACGCUGGCGGCAUGCCUUACACAUGCAAGUCGAACGGCAGCACGGGAGCAAUCCUGGUGGCGAGUGGCGAACGGGUGAGUAAUAUAUCGGAACGUGCCCAGUCGUGGGGGAUAACGCAGCGAAAGCUGUGCUAAUACCGCAUACGAUCUAUGGAUGAAAGCGGGGGAUCGCAAGACCUCGCGCGAUUGGAGCGGCCGAUAUCAGAUUAGCUAGUUGGUGGGUAAAAGCCUACCAAGGCGACGAUCUGUAGCUGGUCUGAGAGGACGACCAGCCACACUGGAACUGAGACACGGUCCAGACUCCUACGGGAGGCAGCAGGUGGGAAUUUUGGACAAUGGGCGAAAGCCUGAUCCAGCAAUGCCGCGUGAGUGAGUGAAGGUCCGUUAGGUUGUAAAGCUUCGUUUUUACCGAGUAUAGACUAAUAGAACUAGUAACGUACGGGAAGUAAUAACGG